GUGGGGAAUCUUAGACAAUGGGCGCAAGCCUGAUCUAGCCAUGCCGCGUGAGCGAUGAAGGCCUUAGGGUUGUAAAGCUCUUUCAGCUGGGAAGAUAAUGACGGUACCAGCAGAAGAAGCCCCGGCUAACUCCGUGCCAGCAGCCGCGGUAAUACGGAGGGGGCUAGCGUUGUUCGGAAUUACUGGGCGUAAAGCGCACGUAGGCGGAUCAGAAAGUCAGAGGUGAAAUCCCAGGGCUCAACCAUGGAACUGCCUUUGAAACUCCUGAUCUUGAGGUCGAGAGAGGUGAGUGGAAUUCCGAGUGUAGAGGUGAAAUUCGUAGAUAUUCGGAGGAACACCAGUGGCGAAGGCGGCUCACUGGCUCGAUACUGACGCUGAGGUGCGAAAGCGUGGGGAGCAAACAGGAUUAGAAACCCUAGUAGUCC
Molecule: ribosomal RNA, 425 nt
Filed under: uncultured bacterium
Lineage: Bacteria
Description: partial 16S ribosomal RNA
Rfam family: Bacterial small subunit ribosomal RNA
Source: RNAcentral